RNAcentral lists this transfer RNA (69 nucleotides) under Myotis albescens. Its description in RNAcentral is "tRNA-Ser". It matches the Rfam family "tRNA". From Rfam's summary of the family: Transfer RNA (tRNA) molecules are approximately 80 nucleotides in length. Lineage: Eukaryota; Metazoa; Chordata; Mammalia; Chiroptera; Vespertilionidae. The record is from RNAcentral.
GAGAAAGUCAUAGUGGUUAUGGUGUUGGCUUGAAACCAACCUCAGGGGGUUCGAAUCCUUCCUUUCUUA